This 767-nucleotide ribosomal RNA is filed under the name uncultured bacterium. RNAcentral's name for it is "bacterial SSU rRNA". It matches the Rfam family "Bacterial small subunit ribosomal RNA", at positions 29 to 783 of the family's 1533-position model. RNAcentral also lists the same sequence under 1 other name. The record is from RNAcentral.
AUGAAGGCUAGCUACAGGCUUAACACAUGCAAGUCGACCGGAAACGACAUCGAAAGCUUGCUUUUGAUGGGCGUCGACCGGCGCACGGGUGAGUAACGCGUAUCCAACCUGCCCAUCACUUGGGGAUAACCUUGCGAAAGUAAGACUAAUACCCAAUGAUAUCCCACGAAGGCAUCCGAAUGGGAUUAAAGAUUUAUCGGUGAUGGAUGGGGAUGCGUCUGAUUAGCUUGUUGGCGGGGUAACGGCCCACCAAGGCGACGAUCAGUAGGGGUUCUGAGAGGAAGGUCCCCCACAUUGGAACUGAGACACGGUCCAAACUCCUACGGGAGGCAGCAGUGAGGAAUAUUGGUCAAUGGGCGAGAGCCUGAACCAGCCAAGUAGCGUGCAGGAAGACGGCCCUAUGGGUUGUAAGCUGCUUUUAUAAGGGAAUAAAGUGAGUCUCGUGAGACUUUUUGCAUGUACCUUAUGAAUAAGGACCGGCUAAUUCCGUGCCAGCAGCCGCGGUAAUACGGAAGGUCCGGGCGUUAUCCGGAUUUAUUGGGUUUAAAGGGAGCGUAGGCCGGAGAUUAAGCGUGUUGUGAAAUGUAGAGGCUCAACCUCUGCACUGCAGCGCGAACUGGUCUUCUUGAGUACGCACAACGUGGGCGGAAUUCGUGGUGUAGCGGUGAAAUGCUUAGAUAUCACGAAGAACUCCGAUUGUGAAGGCAGCUCACGGGAGCGCAACUGCCGCUGAAGCUAGAAAGUGCGGGUAUAGAACAGGAUUAGAU